CCUACGGGAGGCAGCAGUGGGGAAUAUUGGACAAUGGGGGGAACCCUGAUCCAGCCAUGCCGCGUGUGUGAAGAAGGCCCUCGGGUUGUAAAGCACUUUCAGUGAGGAAGAACGCCUGGUGGUUAAUACCCAUCAGGAAAGACAUCACUCACAGAAGAAGCACCGGCUAACUCCGUGCCAGCAGCCGCGGUAAUACGGAGGGUGCGAGCGUUAAUCGGAAUUACUGGGCGUAAAGCGCGCGUAGGUGGCUUGAUAAGCCGGUUGUGAAAGCCCCGGGCUCAACCUGGGAACGGCAUCCGGAACUGUCAAGCUAGAGUGCAGGAGAGGAAGGUAGAAUUCCCGGUGUAGCGGUGAAAUGCGUAGAGAUCGGGAGGAAUACCAGUGGCGAGGGCGGCCUUCUGGACUGACACUGACACUGAGGUGCGAAAGCGUGGGUAGCAAACAGGAUUAGAUACCCGAGUAGUC
Molecule: ribosomal RNA, 465 nt
Filed under: Vreelandella stevensii
Lineage: Bacteria; Pseudomonadati; Pseudomonadota; Gammaproteobacteria; Oceanospirillales; Halomonadaceae
Description: partial 16S ribosomal RNA
Rfam family: Bacterial small subunit ribosomal RNA
Source: RNAcentral